Molecule: ribosomal RNA, 316 nt
Filed under: Pseudomonas sp.
Lineage: Bacteria; Pseudomonadati; Pseudomonadota; Gammaproteobacteria; Pseudomonadales; Pseudomonadaceae
Description: bacterial SSU rRNA
Rfam family: Bacterial small subunit ribosomal RNA
Source: RNAcentral
AAUCGGAAAUUACUGGGGCGUAAAGCGCGCGUAGGCGGGAUAGGUAAAGAUGGAUGUGAAAUCCCCGGGCUCAACCUGGGAACUGCAUCCAUAACUGCCUGGCUAGAGUACAGUAGAGGGUGGUGGAAUUUCCUGUGUAGCGGUGAAAUGCGUAGAUAUAGGAAGGAACACCAGUGGCGAAGGCGACCACCUGGACUGAUACUGACGCUGAGGUGCAAAAGCGUGGGGAGCAAACAGGAUUAGAUACCCUGGUAGUCCACGCCGUAAACGAUGUCAACUAGCCGUUGGAAUCCUUGAGAUUUUAGUGGCGCAGCUA